UACGGAAUGUGCAAACGUUAUUCGGAAUCACUGGGCUUAAAGAGUCCGUAGGCGGCAUGUUAGGUGAGGUGUGAAAUCCCCCGGCUCAACCGGGGAAUUGCGCUUCAAACCGGCGUGCUUGAGGAAGAUAGAGGUGGGCGGAACUGAUGGUGGAGCGGUGAAAUGCGUUGAUAUCAUCAGGAACACCGGAGGCGAAAGCGGCCCACUGGGUCUUAUCUGACGCUGAGGGACGAAAGCUAGGGGAGCGAACGGG
RNAcentral lists this ribosomal RNA (253 nucleotides) under uncultured bacterium. RNAcentral's name for it is "partial 16S ribosomal RNA". It matches the Rfam family "Bacterial small subunit ribosomal RNA", at positions 524 to 776 of the family's 1533-position model. The record is from RNAcentral.